AACGUAGGAGACGAACGUUAUCCGGAGUUACUGGGCGUAAAGGGCGUGCAGGCGGUCUGAUAAGUUCGGCGUGAAAUAUUCCGGCUUAACCGGGAUAGGUCGUCGGAGACUGUCGGACUAGAGGGUGAUAGAGGCGUGUGGAAUUCCGGGUGUAGUGGUGAAAUGCGUAGAGAUCCGGAGGAACACCAGUGGCGAAGGCGACACGCUGGGUCACACCUGACGCUGAGGCGCGAAAGCUAGGGGAGCAAACAGG
Molecule: ribosomal RNA, 253 nt
Filed under: uncultured bacterium
Lineage: Bacteria
Description: partial 16S ribosomal RNA
Rfam family: Bacterial small subunit ribosomal RNA
Source: RNAcentral